CCCAGUAUAUAUCGCUUCUCCUUCUUCUGGAGUUCUGGAAACCUAGCCGCCCGUCUCCUUCUUCUUCUCUACCGACUCAAUCUAACAUCUUCAUCUCCAAUUCAUUGGUGGUAGCUUCUGGAAUUAGAGGCUUAGAGCUGGUAAUUUGCUUCUCUUCUUCUUCUUUUAAUCUUUCUCUUUCUCUUCUUCCUUCCAAUAAAAUCAACACAAAGGUAAUUCAAAAUUCAAAUUCACUUCACUUUGUUCUUCUUUCUUUCUUUCUUUCUAAGUUCUUGGUUUCUGUUUUUGUUUAUUCUGUAAUGUUCAGAUCAUUCGUUAGAAUUCAUUUAGUUUAGUGUUUGGGGUUGAAUAGAAUUGGGUUUUGGGGAAAUGGGUUUGUUUGAAGUUUGAUUAAUAUGUUUUUGUUAAUUUUAAAUUGACAAAUUAAUGUACCAAAACAUACUCUUCAAUUGGUUCAUAUGAACAGACUAUAGCGUAAUCAGAUUCUUAUUUGUAUUUUUGUUGUUAGUUUUAUACUUAUAGCCUCAUUUUUAAUCUAUAUAAUUUUGUUUACUUGUGUUCCUGUUUCCAAACAUGGAAAUGUUUAUCAUUUUUGUUGGGUUUAUGAUUCUUUGUUUAAGCGAAUUGGGUUUCAUUUCAAUGAUUCUUCUUCUUUUUCAGAAAAAGGCUGCAAACGAGCUAAACGAGCUUGGAGGGCUCGAGCUCGAGCUCGAGCCUAAACGAGCUUGGAGGGUUCGAGCUUGAUUCGAGCUAAACGAGCUUGGAGGGCUCGAGCUUGGCUCGAGCUAAACGAGCCUAACGAGCUC
RNAcentral lists this long non-coding RNA (806 nucleotides) under Aquilegia coerulea. Its description in RNAcentral is "long non-coding RNA (ACOE_LNC001715)". The record is from RNAcentral. Lineage: Eukaryota; Viridiplantae; Streptophyta; Magnoliopsida; Ranunculales; Ranunculaceae.